AUUUCUGUGCGUACCAACCUGGCUGUGCCCGAUCUCGUCUGAUCUCGGAAGCUAAGCAGGUUUGGGCCUGGUAAGUACUUGGAUGGUAGACUGCCUGGAAAUACCAGGUGCUGUAAGCU
Ribosomal RNA from Carassius auratus (goldfish), 119 nucleotides. Lineage: Eukaryota; Metazoa; Chordata; Actinopteri; Cypriniformes; Cyprinidae. The record is from Ensembl.